RNAcentral lists this ribosomal RNA (460 nucleotides) under uncultured bacterium. Its description in RNAcentral is "partial 16S ribosomal RNA". It matches the Rfam family "Bacterial small subunit ribosomal RNA", at positions 338 to 795 of the family's 1533-position model. The record is from RNAcentral.
CCUACGGGCGGCAGCAGUGAGGAAUAUUGGUCAAUGGACGAGAGUCUGAACCAGCCAAGUAGCGUGAAGGAUGACUGCCCUAUGGGUUGUAAACUUCUUUUAUAUGGGAAUAAAACGUUCCACGUGUGGGUCUUUGUAUGUACCAUAUGAAUAAGGAUCGGCUAACUCCGUGCCAGCAGCCGCGGUAAUACGGAGGAUCCGAGCGGUAUCCGGAUUUAUUGGGUUUAAAGGGUGCUGAGGUGGAUGGUUAAGUCAAUUGUGAAAGUUGGCGGCUCAACCGUCUAAUUGCAGUUGAGACUGGCAGUCUUGAGUACAGUAGAGGUAGGCGGAAGGCGUGGUGUAGCGGUGAAAUGCUUAGAUAUCACGAAGAACUCCGAUUGCGAAGGCAGUUCACUGGACUGCAACUGACACUGAGGCUCGAAAGUGUGGGUAUCAAACAGGAUUAGAUACCCUUGUAGUC